AUUGAACGCUGGCGGCAGGCCUAACACAUGCAAGUCGAGCGGUAGAGAGGUGCUUGCAUCUCUUGAGAGCGGCGGACGGGUGAGUAAUGCCUAGGAAUCUGCCUAGUGGUGGGGGAUAACGCUCGGAAACGGACGCUAAUACCGCAUACGUCCUACGGGAGAAAGCGGGGGAUCUUCGGACCUCGCGCCAUUAGAUGAGCCUAGGUCGGAUUAGCUAGUUGGUGAGGUAAUGGCUCACCAAGGCGACGAUCCGUAACUGGUCUGAGAGGAUGAUCAGUCACACUGGAACUGAGACACGGUCCAGACUCCUACGGGAGGCAGCAGUGGGGAAUAUUGGACAAUGGGCGAAAGCCUGAUCCAGCCAUGCCGCGUGUGUGAAGAAGGUCUUCGGAUUGUAAAGCACUUUAAGUUGGGAGGAAGGGUAGGUAACCUAAUACGUUGCUACUUUGACGUUACCGACAGAAUAAGCACCGGCUAACUUCGUGCCAG
Molecule: ribosomal RNA, 489 nt
Filed under: uncultured bacterium
Lineage: Bacteria
Description: bacterial SSU rRNA
Rfam family: Bacterial small subunit ribosomal RNA
Source: RNAcentral